Sander lucioperca (pikeperch) is the source of this 355-nucleotide long non-coding RNA. RefSeq lists it as uncharacterized. The transcript is spliced from 4 exons. NCBI's taxonomy places the organism in Eukaryota, Metazoa, Chordata, Actinopteri, Perciformes, Percidae. The record is from RefSeq and is a predicted model, not a curated record.
GCCGUCCUUUCAUAUACUUUUUGAAAAUCAUUGCUUUGUACCUUUUUUUGAACUGGAUUGAAUUUAAUAUGAAUUAGUUUGAACAUUUUUGUGUUUUUAUUUGUGAGGUCUGACUGUUAGCAGGCGUGGCGUUUCCACUCUGAUGACUCCUGUAAAACGAAUGUCAGGUCAAACUGUUGAUAUGCCAAGUAACACUGGUAGUUCCACCUCUACUUACCUAACACCAGUGAAACAAGCACCAGAAACGUGGAUAUUGAAGUUUGUAGCAGUUGUGACUGGUUGUGGAGUCAUUGUUGGCGUCAUCUUGCUGGUUUCUGCAAUUCUCUACAACAAAAAAGCUGCAUCUGUUCCACCU